CAAGUCGAACGCCGUAGCAAUACGGAGUGGCAGACGGGUGAGUAACGCGUGGGAACAUACCCCUCGGUUCGGAAUAACUCAGGGAAACUUGAGCUAAUACCGGAUACGUCCGAGGUUUAAUAGACCUUGGAGAAAGAUUUAUCGCCGGAGGAUUGGCCCGCGUCUGAUUAGCUUGUUGGUGAGGUAAUGGCUCACCAAGGCGACGAUCAGUAGCUGGUCUGAGAGGAUGAUCAGCCACAUUGGGACUGAGACACGGCCCAAGCUCCUACGGGAGGCAGCAGCGGGGAAUAUUGGACAAUGGGCGAAAGCCUGAUCCAGCCAUGCCGCGUGAGUGAUGAAGGCCUUAGGGUUGUAAAGCUCCUUUACCCGGGAAGAUAAAGACGGUACCGGGAGAAUAAGCCCCGGCUAACUUCGUGCCAGCAGCCGCGGUAAUACGAAGGGGGCUAGCGUUGUUCGGAAUUACUGGGCGUAAAGCGCACGUAGGCGGAUCCUUAAGUCAGGGGUGAAAUCCCGAGGCUCAACCUCGGAACUGCCUUUGAUACUGGGGAUAUCGAGUUCGGGAGAGGUGAGUGGAACUGCGAGUGUAGAGGUGAAAUUCGUAGAUAUUCGCAAGAACACCAGUGGCGAAGGCGGCUCACUGGCCCGGUACUGACGCUGAGGUGCGAAAGCGUGGGGAGCAAACAGGAUUAGAUACCCUGGUAGUCCACGCCGUAAACGAUGGAUGCUAGCCGUUAGACAGCUUGCUGUUUAGUGGCGCAGUUAACGCGUUAAGCAUCCCGCCUGGGGAGUACGGUCGCAAGAUUAAACUCAAAGGAAUUGACGGGGGCCCGCACAAGCGGUGGAGCAUGUGGUUUAAUUUC
This 860-nucleotide ribosomal RNA is filed under the name uncultured Beijerinckiaceae bacterium. RNAcentral describes it as "bacterial SSU rRNA". It matches the Rfam family "Bacterial small subunit ribosomal RNA", at positions 58 to 953 of the family's 1533-position model. The record is from RNAcentral. Lineage: Bacteria; Pseudomonadati; Pseudomonadota; Alphaproteobacteria; Hyphomicrobiales; Beijerinckiaceae.